AGAAGAUGGUAAGGGCAAACGGUGGAUGCCUUGGCACAAGAAGCCGAUGAAGGACGUGAUAAGCUGCGAUAAGCCACGGUAAGGAGCACAUAUCCUGUGACCCGUGGAUUUCCGAAUGGGUAAACCCACCAAGAGUCAUUUCUUGGUACUUCCUGCUGAAUAUAUAGGCAGGAUAGAGGUAACCGGGGGAACUGAAACAUCUAAGUACCCCGAGGAAGAGAAAUCAAACGAGAUUCCCCUAGUAGUGGCGAGCGAACGGGGAUAUAGGACAAACCGUCAGUUGCGCAAGCGCUGGCGGGGUUGUAGGACCAUUCAUUGUGGAGUUACAAAACUUCGUGGAAGCAGAAUAGCUUGGAAAAGCUGGCGAGACAGGGUAAAAGCCCCGUACGCGAAUCUGCGAAGACUCCCGAGUGGCACCUGAGUACUGCCGGACACGUGAAACCCGGUGGGAACCUGGGGGGUCCACCCUCCAAUCCUAAAUACUCUCUUGUGACCGAUAGUGAACCAGUACCGUGAGGGAAAGGUGAAAAGCACCCCUAGCGGGGAGUGAAAUAGUACCUGAAACCGUUUGCCUACAAGCAGUCGGAGCAGACUUUUGUCUGUGACGGCGUGCCUUUUGUAGAAUGAGCCAGCGAGUUACGGCAUGUGGCAAGGUUAAGCUAAAAAGCGAGCCGCAGCGAAAGCGAGUCUGAAUAGGGCGAGUGAGUCGCAUACCGUAGACGCGAAGCCAGGUGAGCUAUCCAUGAGCAGGCUGAAGCGGGGGUAAGACCCCGUGGAGGGCCGAACCCACUUAGGUUGAAAACUGAGGGGAUGACUUGUGGAUAGGAGUGAAAGGCCUAUCAAACCUGGAGAUAUCUCGUUCUCUCCGAAAUAGCUUUAGGGCUAGCCUCGGAUGUUUACCAAUGGGGGUAGAGCACUGAAUAGUUGCGGGGGCUUCACCGCCUACCAAGAUUAAUCAAACUCCGAAUACCAUUGGUCUAGAAUCCGGGAGUCAGAAUAUGUGGGCUAAGCUGUGUAUUCGAAAGGGAAACAGCCCAGACCGCCCGCUAAGGUCCCAAAAUCAAUGCUAAGUGGCAAAGGAUGUGCGUUUGCUCAGACAACCAGGAUGUUGGCUUAGAAGCAGCCAUUCAUUUAAAGAGUGCGUAAUAGCUCACUGGUCGAGUGGACAUGCGCCGACAAUAUACGGGGCUAAGCAUUGUACCGAAGCGGCGGAUCAGUACUUUGUACUGGUGGUAGGAGAGCUUUCUGUACGGGUUGAAGCAGUUGGAUAACCAACUGUGGACUGUCCAGAAGUGAGAAUGCUGGCAUGAGUAACGAGAGACAUGUAAAAAACAUGUCCGCCGUAAACCCAAGGUUUCCUGGGCAAGGCUAAUCCUCCCAGGGUUAGGCGGGAGCUAAGGCAAGGCCGGAAGGCGUAGUCGAUGCACAACAGGUAGAAAUUCCUGUCCCUCCAAAAGAGCGUUAUCACCAAUGGGGUGACGGAGCAGGGUAGCUAGGCGGGGUUCUGGACGUCCCCGUGAUGGCACGUAGGCUGAGAAGUAGUGAAAUGCGCUUCUCGUGUGGCUGAGGUGUCGGACGAAGCAAUUGAGUGAAGCUAGUAAGCCCAUACUUCCAAGAAAAACCUCUAGGGAGCUCUGAGGAGCCCGUACCGCAAACCGACACAGGUGGGUGGGUAGAGCAUACCAAGGCGAUCGGGAGAACUAUGGUUAAGGAACUCGGCAAAAUUGCCCCGUAACUUCGGGAGAAGGGGUGCCGGUUUCGGUGAAGGGAUUUACUCCCCGAGCUAAGAUCGGUCACAGUAAAUAGGUCCAAGCGACUGUUUAUCAAAAACACAGGACUCUGCUGAAGUCGUAAGACGACGUAUAGGGUCUGACGCCUGCCCGGUGCCGGAAGGUCACGAGGAGUUGUUAGCAUUAGCGAAGCAGCGAAUCUAAGCCCCGGUAAACGGCGGCCGUAACUAUAACGGUCCUAAGGUAGCGAAAUUCCUUGUCGGGUAAGUUCCGACCUGCACGAAUGGUGUAAUGAUCUGGACGCUGUCUCAACCAUGAGCUCAGUGAAAUUGUAGUAUCGGUGAAGAUGCCGAUUACCCGCGAUGGGACGAAAAGACCCCGUGAACCUUUACUACAGCUUAGCAUUGACCUUGGUCAUCCGAUGUGUAGGAUAGGCCGGAGGCUUCGAAGCGGGUGCGCCAGCAUUCGUGGAGCCAUCCUUGAAAUACGGCCCUUUGGCUGUCUGAGGUCUAACGCGCCUAUGGUGCGGACACUGCUUGGUGGGUAGUUUGACUGGGGGGGGCGCCUCCAAA
Molecule: ribosomal RNA, 2302 nt
Filed under: Atopobium sp.
Lineage: Bacteria; Bacillati; Actinomycetota; Coriobacteriia; Coriobacteriales; Atopobiaceae
Description: partial 23S ribosomal RNA
Rfam family: Bacterial large subunit ribosomal RNA
Source: RNAcentral